This 207-nucleotide ribosomal RNA is filed under the name uncultured bacterium. RNAcentral describes it as "partial 16S ribosomal RNA". It matches the Rfam family "Bacterial small subunit ribosomal RNA", at positions 568 to 774 of the family's 1533-position model. The record is from RNAcentral.
CGCGUAGGCGGUCUCUUAAGUCGGGUGUGAAAGCCCGGGGCUCAACCCCGGAAGUGCACUCGAAACUAUGGGACUUGAGUAUGGGAGAGGGAAGUGGAAUUCCUGGUGUAGCGGUGAAAUGCGUAGAUAUCAGGAGGAACAUCGGUGGCGAAGGCGACUUCCUGGACCAAUACUGACGCUGAGGCGCGAAGGCGUGGGGAGCAAACA